RNAcentral lists this long non-coding RNA (415 nucleotides) under Citrus maxima (pomelo). RNAcentral describes it as "long non-coding RNA (CMAX_LNC000322)". Lineage: Eukaryota; Viridiplantae; Streptophyta; Magnoliopsida; Sapindales; Rutaceae. The record is from RNAcentral.
CAAAUUUGUCCGUUUGUCACAACCUAACCAUGAGUCACACAGGCAGUAACAAGUCAAAUUGUAGUUACCCUCAGCCGGGGCCUGUAUCUUGCCCAUCACCAGUCUGGAGCCACUUCUCACCUUCUCAGCUGCUUCUCUAACUGCAGCACUCGUCUCCUUUACAGUCGCUCCAGACCCUUCCAUAGUGUCCUCAAUCGCCUUUGAAGCUGCUGUAAUAGCUGCAGGUUCAUCCAUGAAACUGACCUUUUGGGAAAACCACACAUUAUUUGAGACAGAGUCUGCAAGCAGGAACCAAAAGUUUUCUUCCUUGUGGAAUGGGUAGUAGGGGGCAUGGGGGAGGGCACCAAUCAGGCCAUUACCACGUUUGAGAGUAACCCAAGCUUGAAUCGUCACAAUGUCACCCUCUUGUAUACCC